This 213-nucleotide ribosomal RNA is filed under the name Triticum aestivum (bread wheat). Its description in RNAcentral is "partial small subunit ribosomal RNA". The record is from RNAcentral. Lineage: Eukaryota; Viridiplantae; Streptophyta; Magnoliopsida; Poales; Poaceae.
AUGGCGGACGAGGGGACGGCCAACUGCAUCGACAUCAUCCUCGCCGUCAUCCUGCCGCCGCUCGGCGUCUUCUUCAAGUUCGCCUGCGGGAUCGAGUUCUGGAUCUGCUUGCUGCUCACCUUCUUCGGCUACCUCCCCGACAUCGUCUACGCCGUCUGGGUCAUCAUCGGAGGGGCUCCUCACCUCUGCCUGCCUCUAGGUAUGCAUGCCUAA